AAAGUCCCUGUCGGGUAAGGUUUAACCAGCCACCCGUAUCGAGUGUUGCGCCUGUGGCGGAGCAGUUUUUUUUUGAGGCUGCGAACAAGACAGGUGAAGCGUACACAGAGAAUCAUGUAGGCCACAGGGGAUACCGUGUCCCUGAAGUGCUGGCAUCGCUCCGAUAAUAAAGAAAGCUCUGGUUGACGAGGCUUGUAACGCAGUCGAAGUCCAUGCAAAACAACCGUAUCAGGUGAGGUUGUGGCGAACCAGCGGGGUUCUCAAGCC
Molecule: non-coding RNA, 267 nt
Organism: Marinobacterium sp.
Lineage: Bacteria; Pseudomonadati; Pseudomonadota; Gammaproteobacteria; Oceanospirillales; Oceanospirillaceae
Source: Rfam